AUGGAUUAUUUGGGCUUCUAUAGUUUAUAGUUGGGUUUCGUCUUUUUGUUUGGGCUUAUAACUAAACAACCCAGCUGAUUGUCUUUUACCUUUUCUUCACGAACGGCGAAACCAGGGUUCAUCGUGUUAUUCAUUUGUUACUAGCUAAAGCUACAAUGGUGUCCAUUUGGGGAUCCUUCAGAAACUUUCUUAUUCGCGACAGACGGUGGUGAAAAUUAGGGUUAGCCGUUAUCUUCACAAUGAGUGAGCUUGAGCAACAAUGGCGAUCUAGUUGAGUCAGACGCAUCGUCGUUUCGUAUUUGGUCCUUAACCCCAGACGUUACGACUCUCUUCUUUCAUCAGCUUUAAGAGAUGUCUUAACUCCACCGAUGCAAUCAAACACGACGUCUCAUUCAAUCAUACUCAUUCAGCUCCAAGGUCGUUUUCUUUACUUAUAUAAAAGGUGUGGAUGCUCCAAUUCUGGGAGGCCGGAAAAGCACAACGCGGUGACGAGUUAAUGGGAGUUGAUAUGCUCCUCUUCGAUGUGAAGUCAACCCUCAUGCCAGCCACCGUGAACGUUCACCGGCUAGCCAAUUUCAGGGAUCGUCUCCAGGCUGCGGAUUUGAUAUCACUCGGUGCAACCAGAACUUCAGGCUUUCAGACUCACUUAUGACAAUACUGUUCAGUGAUUCAACCAAUCUAGAUGUGCUAACCGAACCAUAUUCACCCAUUCCUGUAAAACGUUUCAGGUUCCGUGAUUAGCCAACACCAACACCUCUUCCAUGAACGUUAUUGGUGAGCUCACUGCUGUGAAAAGUACAGUGAGUGACAUUUCGUCUAGCGAGUUAUGGGACUAUUAAGAUCGACAAGUAACUCUCUUCUACAUAUGAAUCUAUUCAAUACUUUCAUAAAUUUUCUUACUUUUCUUUUGAUACAUUGACCGUUUUAUGUUCUAUCUUCCUUUUCAUAGUAAUAUCUCUCACUUUGAGUCUGAUUGACUCACAAGAUGUCUCUUUUCACAAGAAACUUGAAGGAUUCCUGGGGGAUCCAAGGGUUGUUGUUACAAGUAGCAUAAACCCAAAGAUGGUCGGAAGUAUAUUUCUGUCUGGAAUUAAAUACACAUAAUGCAUAGGAUCAGUUAUACUAAUUUUAAACUUUAGUGCUUACAUGUGAGGAGGCCUAAUAUUCUUGAAACACAGAUUGAAUAUUUUUCUGCAGGACGUUUGUUCUUGAAUGCCACCUCGGGAACAGAUUUAUUUUCCGACAAGGCAACUGAUGCAGGGGAAAUUCAAUUUUAGGACACAUGCUGGUUUCCAAAGCCAUUGGGAUCACCCCUGUUCCAUCAUUGCUGAGAGUCUAUGCAAAGGUUCAAAAUAUAAGAUUGAAUUUGUCUGCACUGGAAUGGUGACUGAUAUCAAACUGGAGAAAGGCUGGUGUUACGUCUCUUGCUCAAGGUGCACAAAGAAGCUCCAACGAACGGUGUCAUCCUUGCGUGACCUGCAGUAACACCACGCAUCAAACCAUUGCAGGAACAUCUCUAAGUGGUCGCCAUCAAGAAACCUUAGGCAUCAAAGUCUUCAAAGGUGGUCAAGAAGCCACGUAAGGAAUAAGUGAAGAUAAAGGGUUGUGAUGCGGAAGGAGUACUUGCUGUUUCAAUAAUGAUUGUGUUAACGUGGGUUUUCUUUUAAACUAUGUACCUCUUAUGGAGUUUGGUAUGUUUUAAAAAAAAUCUAAAACUAUAAUAAAAAUGCCUUUUUGGACUUUAUCAUCA
This is a long non-coding RNA of Brassica napus (rape), 1750 nucleotides long. RefSeq lists it as uncharacterized. NCBI's taxonomy places the organism in Eukaryota, Viridiplantae, Streptophyta, Magnoliopsida, Brassicales, Brassicaceae. The transcript is spliced from 6 exons. The record is from RefSeq and is a predicted model, not a curated record.